This 254-nucleotide unclassified non-coding RNA is filed under the name uncultured Parcubacteria group bacterium. RNAcentral's name for it is "contains 16S-23S intergenic spacer region". It matches the Rfam family "Bacterial small subunit ribosomal RNA", at positions 524 to 776 of the family's 1533-position model. The record is from RNAcentral.
AACAGAACCCCCGAGCGUUACCCGGAUUUAUUGGGCGUAAAGCGUCUGUAGCCGGUUUGGCAAGUCGCAGGUUAAAUACUGAGAGCUUAACUUUCAGAAUGCCUGCGAAACUGUCAGACUAGAGGGCAUUAGGGGUUACUGGAACUCUUGGUGGAGGGGUGAAAUCCGUUGAUAUCAAGAGGAACACCAAAAGCGAAGGCAUGUAACUGGGGUGACCCUGACGGUGAGAGACGAAAGCGUGGGGAGCAAAAAGG